AUUGAACGCUGGCGGCAGGCCUAACACAUGCAAGUCGAACGAGUGGCGGACGGGUGAGUAAUGUCUGGGAAACUGCCUGAUGGAGGGGGAUAACUACUGGAAACGGUAGCUAAUACCGCAUACCAUCAGAUGUGCCCAUAUGGGAUUAGCUAGUGGGUGGGGUAACGGCUCACAAAGGCGACGAUGCCUAGCUGGUCUGAGAGGAUGACCAGCCACCCGGGUACUGAGACACGGUCCAGCCUCCCACGGGAGGCAGCAGUGGGGAAUUUUGCGCAAUGGGCGCAAGCCUGAUGCAGCCAUGCCGCGUGUAUGAAGAAGGCCUUCGGGUUGUAAAGUACUUUCAGCGGGGAGGCGUUACCCGCAGAAGAAGCACCGGCUAACUCCGUGCCAGCAGCCGCGGUAAUUC
Molecule: ribosomal RNA, 406 nt
Filed under: uncultured bacterium
Lineage: Bacteria
Description: partial 16S ribosomal RNA
Rfam family: Bacterial small subunit ribosomal RNA
Source: RNAcentral